AUAUGACGUUGAAGAGUGCUGGAUCGUCGCCAGCUGGUCGCCAAGUGAUCAGUGCCAGGAGGAGGCAGGCGUGAAAGGCAAAUCCAACAGCUGACACUAGGGAAUUGAAGCUUGCACGAGAAACAGGGAAGGAGCAUUGAUAGUGUUACACCUGCUACUGCCUGGAGUAAUGCAAAACUUAAGAAGCUUAGGCCCACGGUUGAUGCACCUCCCAGAGCACAUACCACAUAAGCCUGACGAAUAAAUUAUUUUAUUUUAUUCUCUUCCACUCAUUCAUUAGGAAAUCAGUGGUGCAAAUUACCUCAGUGAAAUCACCCAUUAUAAAUCCUUGCUCGAGUCCAAUAAAGAGUGUAAGUGGAGCA
Fopius arisanus is the source of this 362-nucleotide long non-coding RNA. RefSeq lists it as uncharacterized. The record is from RefSeq and is a predicted model, not a curated record. The transcript has 4 exons. Lineage: Eukaryota; Metazoa; Arthropoda; Insecta; Hymenoptera; Braconidae.